RNAcentral lists this ribosomal RNA (443 nucleotides) under uncultured bacterium. RNAcentral's name for it is "partial 16S ribosomal RNA". It matches the Rfam family "Bacterial small subunit ribosomal RNA", at positions 338 to 795 of the family's 1533-position model. The record is from RNAcentral.
CCUACGGGAGGCAGCAGUGGGGAAUAUUGGGCAAUGGGCGCAAGCCUGACCCAGCAACGCCGCGUGAAGGAAGAAGGCUUUCGGGUUGUAAACUUCUUUUCUCAGGGACGAAGAAAGUGACGGUACCUGAGGAAUAAGCCACGGCUAACUACGUGCCAACAGCCGCGGUAAUACGUAGGUGGCAAGCGUUAUCCGGAUUUACUGGGUGUAAAGGGCGUGUAGGCGGGGAAGCAAGUCAGAUGUGAAAACCAUGGGCUCAACCUAUAGCCUGCAUUUGAAACUGUAUUUCUUGAGUGCUGGAGAGGCAGACGGAAUUCCGUGUGUAGCGGUGAAAUGCGUAGAUAUACGGAGGAACACCAGUGGCGAAGGCGGUCUGCUGGACAGCAACUGACGCUGAGGCGCGAAAGCGUGGGGAGCAAACAGGAUUAGAUACCCCGGUAGUC